UACGUAGGGAGCAAGCGUUGUCCGGAAUCAUUGGGCGUAAAGCGCGCGUAGGUGGCCCCGUAAGUCCGCUGUGAAAGUCAAAGGCUCAACCUUUGAAAGCCGGUGGAUACUGUGGGACUAGAGUACGGAAGAGGCGAGUGGAAUUCCUGGUGUAGCGGUGGAAUGCGCAGAUAUCAGGAGGAACACCAGUGGCGAAGGCGACUACCUGGCCUGUUCUUGACGCUGAGGCGCGAAAGCUAGGGGAGCAAACGGG
Molecule: ribosomal RNA, 253 nt
Filed under: uncultured bacterium
Lineage: Bacteria
Description: partial 16S ribosomal RNA
Rfam family: Bacterial small subunit ribosomal RNA
Source: RNAcentral